AGUGAACGCUGGCGGUAGGCCUAACACAUGCAAGUCGAACGGCAGCACAGUAAGAGCUUGCUCUUACGGGUGGCGAGUGGCGGACGGGUGAGGAAUACAUCGGAAUCUACUUUUUCGUGGGGGAUAACGUAGGGAAACUUACGCUAAUACCGCAUACGACCUACGGGAGAAAGCAGGGGAUCUUCGGACCUUGCGCGAUUGAAUGAGCCGAUGUCGGAUUGGCUAGUUGGCGGGGUAAAGGCCCACCAAGGCGACGAUCCGUAGCUGGUCUGAGAGGAUGAUCAGCCACACUGGAACUGAGACACGGUCCAGACUCCUACGGGAGGCAGCAGUGGGGAAUAUUGGACAAUGGGCGCAAGCCUGAUCCAGCCAUGCCGCGUGGGUGAAGAAGGCCUUCGGGUUGUAAAGCCCUUUUGUUGGGAAAGAAAAGCAGCAGGUUAAUACCCCGCUGUUCUGACGGUACCCAAAGAAUAAGCACCGGCUAACUUCGUG
This 492-nucleotide ribosomal RNA is filed under the name uncultured bacterium. RNAcentral's name for it is "partial 16S ribosomal RNA". It matches the Rfam family "Bacterial small subunit ribosomal RNA", at positions 29 to 507 of the family's 1533-position model. The record is from RNAcentral.